UACACGUUACUGUGAACUGAAGUACUGAGAGUUACAUGUUACUGUGAACUGAAGUACUGAGAGUUACGUGUGUGUGUGUGUGUGUGUGUGUGUGUGUGUGUGUGUGUGUGUGUGUGUGUGUGUGUGUGUGUGUGUGUGUGUGUGUGUGUGUGUGUGUGUGUGUGUGUUGUGUGUGUUGUGUGUGUGUGUGUGUGUGUGUGUGUACACCUGUGCAGGUUAUAUCCAAAGAGUCUCUCCUGCUGAGGGAGGCGGUUUGAGAAACAGAUGUUCCUGCACGGCCUCGUGGGAACAGGAAGUGUGCUGUCAGCAGAUUAACGGCUGUACAGGCUGUACAGAGGGGGCUGAUCUGUGUGUGUGUGCAGGCUGUGCAGCGGGGGCUGAUCUGGGAUCUGUGCUGCGUGGCGUCAUGAAGCUGCCCUGCUCUCUGCACUGCUCCCUGUGGUUGUUCCUGCUGCUGGGAGCCGGAUCUCUGCUGCUGCUCAUCCGCCUGCAGGAUCUCAGCGAGGUGGUGUUGCAGCAGACUCCAGGUCAGUUAUCUUUAUAAUAAUAAUCCGUCAGACUUUGUGAUUUUCAGAGUUCUUGAAGACGUUUUACAUGCUGUAGGAUAAGAAAAACAGCAGCAAACAACUGGAUUUAUUCAGGUUUCUCACCAAGAUAAAAUUUGAACACAUCAUGAUAACGUUAUAAUUUACCUUCAACCAGUACUCAAUUUUACUGAAGAGAGCUUGAACGCAUCAUAAUGUAAGUAGUAGUAGUACAUCAGUAGAACCUCCGUUAGCAUUAGCCACCGGCUGCUAACAGCUAACUA
This 808-nucleotide long non-coding RNA is filed under the name Cottoperca gobio. RNAcentral's name for it is "lncRNA (ENSCGOG00000012354.1)". Lineage: Eukaryota; Metazoa; Chordata; Actinopteri; Perciformes; Bovichtidae. The record is from RNAcentral.